RNAcentral lists this long non-coding RNA (347 nucleotides) under Elaeis guineensis (African oil palm). RNAcentral's name for it is "long non-coding RNA (EGUI_LNC042331)". The record is from RNAcentral. Lineage: Eukaryota; Viridiplantae; Streptophyta; Magnoliopsida; Arecales; Arecaceae.
CAGUGGUGUGACUAGUCCUUUGACCUAUGGUGUGUUGGCUAUUCACAGCGAGGCUACUUAGUUUGACUGUACAUUCUCUUGGUCCCUAGCGAUUUGAAUUUUUACUGUGUAUGUUGGCUAUUGUAGGUUCAGGUUCACUGUUUAAAAUAGGAUGCACCUAGAUGGAAUCUAUUGAUCUUGAUAGAAAAAGAGAAGUCCUAUAUAAUUUACAAGACUGAGUUCAAAAAAUCUCUGGUCAGAGUAAGAGCAAAUACUAAAAAAGAGUUUUUACGAGAUUCACAGAUGAACUCGAGUCGAGCCAAUCUAGCAUAUGACUGACGAUGGAAUUUGAUGAGUUCUCCAUGACC